This 253-nucleotide ribosomal RNA is filed under the name uncultured bacterium. RNAcentral's name for it is "partial 16S ribosomal RNA". It matches the Rfam family "Bacterial small subunit ribosomal RNA", at positions 524 to 776 of the family's 1533-position model. The record is from RNAcentral.
UACAGAGGUCUCGAGCGUUGUUCGGAUUUAUUGGGCGUAAAGGGUGCGUAGGCGGCGAGCUAAGUUUGGUGUGAAAUCCUGGGGCUUAACCUCAGAAAUGCACUGAAUACUGGUUUGCUAGAGGACUGGAGAGGAGAUUGGAAUUCACGGUGUAGCAGUGAAAUGCGUAGAUAUCGUGAGGAAGACCAGUGGCGAAAGCGAAUCUCUGGACAGUUCCUGACGCUGAUGCACGAAGGCUGGGGGAGCAAACGGG